Non-coding RNA from Strongylocentrotus purpuratus (purple sea urchin), 75 nucleotides. The record is from Rfam. Lineage: Eukaryota; Metazoa; Echinodermata; Echinoidea; Camarodonta; Strongylocentrotidae.
GGUGUCGUGGUAUAGUGGUUCAUUCACUUGACUCUCAAUCCAAGGGUUGAGGGUUCGAAUCCCAGACUGGCACCA